UUUAACUGCUGAUGCAAAACCUUCCAGAACUCCUUUUCUCUUUGCCAUGGCAAUCAGCAAUGUUCCGGAGAGUAUAUGCUCUGUAAGCCUUGGUCUUGGAGAGAGGAUGAUGCAGAAAAGAGUCCCAUUCACCUCAUGAUGGCUAUUUAAAUUUAAGGUAUCGACUUCAUUCUACGAAUGGAAGUAGGAGGAGAGUGCCGUGUGGUCUUUAUCACUCAUGCUCAAGUGAGCACAACCGGGUCCGACGUUGUCUUCCAGGAUCAGGUGGCCAAGCUGGAGUGUCCCUUGUGAGGAAUUCCUACUAAGGAAUCUCUGCCAGUCUUGCCAGGGUGGCUUGCAGGGCAAAAAUGGUGCCAAGGAGCUCUCCUUGCCAGUGCACGAGGCAUGCAGAUGCUGCCACGGAGCCUCCGCUCUAUGUAAGACCAGCCCUGAUCAUGCCUUUAAACAGUUUGAAUCCAGCUGGCAUUUUUUUCCCAAAAAGUUCAGCAAGCAUUAGAAUAUACGAGUCAGAACACAGAAGAGAAAUACAACUUGGAGAUGUAAAUUUCAGCACCAGCAUUUUAAUGAUCUUUGAUAAAAAGAGGCUCUUUUGGGACCCCCAAGUCUGUGAAAAAUAAAUCAGCCAUCUUCUGAUUCCUUGGGUACCAGUGGAAAAGUGUGCUGUGAAAAUGAAGUCUCCUGAAUUCAGGUCUUGCUACUCAAAGUGUGGUCCACAGGUCAGCAAUAUCGUCCUUGAAUUUUCCAGUCUCUCUCCACAUCGACUGAAUCAGAUUCUUCAUUUCAACAAAAUUUCCAGAAAUUGCCACAGCCACCCCGACUGACCUUCAGCAAGCAGCAACCUGUUCAGUCAUCGGCGAUUAACAUGAAGGCAACCCACUCCACCAGCAAAAAGAUAGGACUUGCCGAAAACUCAGAUGAUGGUUAGCAUUUUACAGUAAUAAAGUAUUUUUAACUAAGCUUCAUCUCAAUUCUGCCCUCCAGAAGGCAGGAAGUUGGGCACAACUUUGCUGUAAAGUACACCACAAAAAUUAAAGAACUCUUCUGGGUGCAGUUGGAAUAAUGAUGUCCAAUAUGUGUUAAGUGAUGACAAUAUACCAUUUUAAAUUCUUUUAGUUGUUACCACACUGAAUUCUUCUAAUAAAUCUAUUAGGUACUUACUAUUUUCAUCCCUACUUCCCAGCUGAGGAAACCACCCCUGAGAGGCUGAAGGAGAAUAUUUCCCAAGGCCACAGAGCUAAGUAAGUGGUGAUGCUAAAAUCAGGCCUGGGGAGGCUUUCUCCUGAACCUGCAUUGUUAAAUAACCACUGUGUUAUGCUCCAUCUAGGACAGAAAUUGUACUAGUCUACAGCAACAUCUUAUUGGAUAGAAGUUUAAAAGUUCAAAAAAGAAGGUAAGAGGUAAGGAAAAGAUACUGGCUCUACUAAUCUUUAAUGACUCGGCAUACUUUAAUAGUGUCUGUAUGCUCACAUGUCUCCUUUACAACUUUGAUUUUAAAAGAUGCUGUAAGCACACUGAACAGUUCUGAGCAUCUGUUUCUGGCAAUACUUUGCUGUUCAUAUUCACUGAUACAUCAAGUGUUAAAAUAGUAAAGUUAUUGUCCACAAUAGCUAUUUACUUAAAAAUAUUAUUAUGACACUCUCAUUUCAUCAAGAAAAAUAUGUUAUGAACCUAAAAUUUCAGAAAAGCAGUUUAGCUGUCGUCACUGUCAUGUCAGUUUUGU
This is a long non-coding RNA of Hyaena hyaena (striped hyena), 1720 nucleotides long. RefSeq lists it as uncharacterized. The transcript has 7 exons. NCBI's taxonomy places the organism in Eukaryota, Metazoa, Chordata, Mammalia, Carnivora, Hyaenidae. The record is from RefSeq and is a predicted model, not a curated record.